RNAcentral lists this ribosomal RNA (253 nucleotides) under uncultured bacterium. RNAcentral's name for it is "partial 16S ribosomal RNA". It matches the Rfam family "Bacterial small subunit ribosomal RNA", at positions 524 to 776 of the family's 1533-position model. The record is from RNAcentral.
UACGGGGGGGGCAAGCGUUGUUCGGAAUUACUGGGCGUAAAGGGCUCGUAGGCGGCCAACUAAGUCAGACGUGAAAUCCCUCGGCUUAACCGGGGAACUGCGUCUGAUACUGGAUGGCUCGAGUUUGGGAGAGGGAUGCGGAAUUCCAGGUGUAGCGGUGAAAUGCGUAGAUAUCUGGAGGAACACCGGUGGCGAAGGCGGCAUCCUGGACCAACACUGACGCUGAGGAGCGAAGGCCAGGGGAGCAAACGGG